UCCGUAGGUGGAUAAUUAAGUCAGAGGUGAAAUCCUGCAGCUUAACUGUAGAACUGUUAUUGAUACUGAUUUUCUUGAAUUCAGUUGAGGUAGGCGGAAUGUGUAAUGUAGCGGUGAAAUGCUUAGAUAUUACACAGAACACCGAUUGCGAAGGCAGCUUACUAAGCUGAUAUUGACGCUGAGGCACGAAAGCGUGGGGAGCGAACAGGAUUAGAUACCCUGGUAGUCC
RNAcentral lists this ribosomal RNA (229 nucleotides) under uncultured bacterium. RNAcentral describes it as "partial 16S ribosomal RNA". It matches the Rfam family "Bacterial small subunit ribosomal RNA", at positions 568 to 796 of the family's 1533-position model. The record is from RNAcentral.